Molecule: long non-coding RNA, 384 nt
Filed under: Anas platyrhynchos platyrhynchos (common mallard)
Lineage: Eukaryota; Metazoa; Chordata; Aves; Anseriformes; Anatidae
Description: lncRNA (ENSAPLG00000016478.1)
Source: RNAcentral
CUGUGGCUGGGCUUCGGGCUGCUGCUCAGCGCAGAGCUCGACACCGUGGCCGCCGCGGGUUGUUCCGGUUGUGGAAAAUGUGACUGCAGUGGAGUAAAAGGGCAAAAGGAGAUUGGGUCCUGAUAUGUACCUGGAGAGAAUCAAAACUCCAUCCUGAAUGGGAAGGACCAUUCCAAGUGCUACUAACCACUGAAACAGACGUAAGAACUGCAGAAAAAGGUUGGAGUCACUAUACUCGAGUGAAAGCAUCCGUCAACCCUAGUACCUGGGAAGUUGUUCCUACAGAAGACUUGUUGGAAGUUAAAAUCACAGAAUUGUCUAGGUUGGAAGAGACCUCAAGAUCAUCGAGUCCAACCUCUGACCUAACACUAACAAGUCCUCCAC